AUGCACCUUGUUGCUUUUUAGACCGGGAUAUGGAUCCCGAUGAAGAUCUUGAGGAGGAAGAGUUGGAUGAUGAAGCUGAGGAAGAGGCUGUGGAAGAGAUAGGUGGUGCAAAAGAUCGACCAGAAGAAGCGAAAAAAGCCGGAAACCAACGGGAGGGCAGCGAAUGGAGUAAGCAACGCCAAGAGAACGAAGGUAGACAUUAAGAACAACGGUAUGGACGACGAUGCGGACGAAGACGAAGAAGCUGACAUGGACGAAGGCGAGCUAGACGAGUCCGACGAGGACUUCAGCGAGGACGAGGAGCCGCCAGUGCGCGUGAAGAAGUCGGCCAAGAAGACCCCUGCUGUGGUCGCCGCUGCCCCCCAAAAGAAACAGCCGCCAGCAGGCAAGAAGCCAGGAUCAGGUAAAAAGCCGCAAGCCAAGAAAACGCCCAAAGCCAAGGCUUGAUUGCUUGUUUAAUGCGGUGCCAAGUUGUGCCUUGAAAUGUAUAUGCAGUGUUACGAAAUAUAUGUUGCAAGGUUAUCAGCAUUUUGAAAUCUUUCUCAGGAGCCAAACACAAUUUCGGAAGUGUUGACUGCAUACCACAGCUGCUACGAAAUAACUGAUGCAUGUCAUACCUACUGUUCUCCCGAUCUCCUGUCGCCGAGUCCGAUAUCUGCACUUGUUUCUUUUCCUCCUAGUUCGGAGCAAACGUUACAGGGAGGAUGACUGAGAGGAUGUUACAGUUGGGUUAGGAUGAUAUACCGUGAAUGCAGGACGUGAAUGACAUCAGGACAUUACUGGUAUAGUAGCCUCGCUCCUUUGCAUGGCCGUUUUCACCAGGGACUGAGGCAGGGACGUCUAGUUCUGCUGACUGUUUUUUGGUUUGUUGUUCACCAAUCCAGCCAACCAAUCGUGCUAAUUCAAAAGGCAUUUAGUUUUGUUUGGUUUAUAAUGAGUGAUAUAUUGAUUUGAUCAUGCAGUGAUUUUGUGAACAAGCAUACCAGGCCCACCAGGGGGCUGUCG
Molecule: long non-coding RNA, 1005 nt
Organism: Pollicipes pollicipes
Lineage: Eukaryota; Metazoa; Arthropoda; Thecostraca; Pollicipedomorpha; Pollicipedidae
Exons: 3
Source: RefSeq, a predicted model, not a curated record